Non-coding RNA from Acanthosepion pharaonis, 112 nucleotides. The record is from the annotation of a GenBank genome assembly. NCBI's taxonomy places the organism in Eukaryota, Metazoa, Mollusca, Cephalopoda, Sepiida, Sepiidae.
ACAAUCACACCACGUUGAAACAGCCGUUCCCGUACGAUCACCGCAUUUAAGCAACCUCGAGCCUGGUCAUUACCUACAUGGGUGACCGCUUGGAAAUACCAGGUUCUGUAAG